RNAcentral lists this ribosomal RNA (484 nucleotides) under uncultured bacterium. RNAcentral's name for it is "partial 16S ribosomal RNA". It matches the Rfam family "Bacterial small subunit ribosomal RNA", at positions 28 to 523 of the family's 1533-position model. The record is from RNAcentral.
GACGAACGCUGGCGGCGUGCUUAACACAUGCAAGUCGAACGAUGAAACCGGAGCUUGCUCCGGUGGAUUAGUGGCGAACGGGUGAGUAACACGUGAGUAACCUGCCCUUGACUCUGAGAUAACUGCGGGAAACUGUAGCUAAUACCGGAUACGACCCUCGGAGGCAUCUCCUGGGGGUGGAAAGAAUUUCGGUCAAGGAUGGACUCGCGGCCUAUCAGCUAGUUGGUGAGGUAACGGCUCACCAAGGCGACGACGGGUAGCCGGCCUGAGCGGGUGACCGGCCACACUGGGACUGAGACACGGCCCAGACUCCUACGGGAGGCAGCAGUGGGGAAUAUUGCACAAUGGGCGCAAGCCUGAUGCAGCAACGCCGCGUGAGGGAUGACGGCCUUCGGGUUGUAAACCUCUUUUAGCAGGGAAGAAGCGAAAGUGACGGUACCUGCAGAAAAAGCACCGGCUAACUACGUGCCAGCAGCCGCAGUAA